CCCUUAGAUGUUCUGGGCCGCACGCGCGCUACACUGACUGACUCAACGAGUUUACAACCUGUGCCGAAAGGUAUGGGUAAUCUUUUGAAAUUCAGUCGUGAUGGGGCUAGAUUAUUGCAACUAUUAAUCUUCAACGAGGAAUGCCUAGUAAGCGCGAAUCAUCAGUUCGCGUUGAUUACGUCCCUGCCCUUUGUACACACCGCCCGUCGCUCCUACCGAUUGAAUGGUCCGGUGAAAUCUCGGGACGGCGGCUUGGUCGCUUGCGUCCGACUGCUGAAACUUGAUUAAACCAUAUCAUUUAGAGGAAGGUGAANUCGUAACA
RNAcentral lists this ribosomal RNA (322 nucleotides) under uncultured eukaryote. RNAcentral describes it as "partial 18S ribosomal RNA". It matches the Rfam family "Eukaryotic small subunit ribosomal RNA", at positions 1470 to 1796 of the family's 1831-position model. The record is from RNAcentral.